This 343-nucleotide unclassified non-coding RNA is filed under the name soil metagenome. RNAcentral describes it as "partial contains 5.8S ribosomal RNA, internal transcribed spacer 2, and large subunit ribosomal RNA". The stretch from base 1 to 120 matches the Rfam family "5.8S ribosomal RNA", at positions 35 to 154 of the family's 154-position model. The record is from RNAcentral.
GAUGAAGAACGCAGUGAAAUGCGAUAAGUAAUGUGAAUUGCAGAAUUCAGUGAAUCAUCGAAUCUUUGAACGCACAUUGCGCCCGCUAGUAUUCUGGCGGGCAUGCCUGUCCGAGCGUCAUUUCAACCCUCAAGCCCCCGGGCUUGGUGUUGGGGAUCGGCGAGCCUCCGCGCCCGCCGUCCCCUAAAUCUAGUGGCGGUCUCGCUGUAGCUUCCUCUGCGUAGUAGCACACCUCGCACUGGGAAACAGCGCGGCCACGCCGUUAAACCCCCAACUUCUGAACGUUUGACCUCGGAUCAGGUAGGAAUACCCGCUGAACUUAAGCAUAUCAAUAGGCGGAGGA